This 101-nucleotide ribosomal RNA is filed under the name Selaginella doederleinii. RNAcentral's name for it is "partial 5.8S ribosomal RNA". It matches the Rfam family "5.8S ribosomal RNA", at positions 53 to 153 of the family's 154-position model. Rfam says of the family: 5.8S ribosomal RNA (5.8S rRNA) is a component of the large subunit of the eukaryotic ribosome. It is transcribed by RNA polymerase I as part of the 45S precursor that also contains 18S and 28S rRNA. The record is from RNAcentral. Lineage: Eukaryota; Viridiplantae; Streptophyta; Lycopodiopsida; Selaginellales; Selaginellaceae.
AUGCGAUACUUGGUGUGAAUUGCAGAAUUCCGUGAAUCAUCGAAUGUUUGAACGCAACUUGUGCCCGAGGCUUAUGUCGAGGGCGUGCCUGCCUGAGCGUC